ACAUUAUUCAUUCGUCGGCUUCCUCAUGCUAGUCGAGCGGUACAGGGGUAGCUUGCUACCCGUUGACGAGCGGCGGAGGGAGAGAAAUGCAUAGGAAUCUGCCCGAUAGUGGGGGAUAACCUGGGGAAACCCAGGCUAAUACCGCAUACGUCCUACGGGAGAAAGGGGGCUCCGGCUCCCGCUAUUGGAUGAGCCUAUGUCGGAUUAGCUAGUUGGUGAGGUAAAGGCUCACCAAGGCGACGAUCCGUAGCUGGUCUGAGAGGAUGAUCAGCCACAUCGGGACUGAGACACGGCCCGAACUCCUACGGGAGGCAGCAGUGGGGAAUAUUGGACAAUGGGCGAAAGCCUGAUCCAGCCAUGCCGCGUGUGUGAAUAAGGCCCUCGGGUUGUAAAGCACUUUCAGCGAGGAAGAACGCCUAGUGGUUAAUACCCAUUAUGAAAGACAUCCCCCGCAUAAGAAGCACCGGCUAACCCCGUGCCAGCAGCCGCGUUACUACGGAGGUUGUAUGCGUUAAUCGGAAUUACUGGGCGUAUAGCGCGCGAAUGUGGCUUGAUUUUCCUGUUGUGAUACUUCUGUCUCACCUGGGAACGGUUUCUUGCUUUUUAUCUAGUUUGCAGGACAUUAGGUAGAUUUCCCUGUGUUCCGUUGUAUUGUUAAUAUCUUCGGAAU
RNAcentral lists this ribosomal RNA (670 nucleotides) under Vreelandella alkaliphila. RNAcentral describes it as "bacterial SSU rRNA". It matches the Rfam family "Bacterial small subunit ribosomal RNA", at positions 28 to 704 of the family's 1533-position model. Lineage: Bacteria; Pseudomonadati; Pseudomonadota; Gammaproteobacteria; Oceanospirillales; Halomonadaceae. The record is from RNAcentral.